GACGAACGCUGGCGGCGUGCUUAACACAUGCAAGUCGAGCGGUAAGGCCCUUUCGGGGGUACACGAGCGGCGAACGGGUGAGUAACACGUGGGUGACCUGCCCUCAGCUCUGGGAUAAGCCCGGGAAACUGGGUCUAAUACCGGAUAUGACUUCAUGACGCAUGUUGUGGAGUGGAAAGCCUUGUGCGGCUGAGGAUGGGCCCGCGGCCUAUCAGCUUGUUGGUGGGGUGANGGCCUACCAAGGCGACGACGGGUAGCCGGCCUGAGAGGGCGACCGGCCACACGUGGGACUGAGAUACCGGCCCAGACCUCCGUACGGGAGGCAGCAGGU
This 331-nucleotide ribosomal RNA is filed under the name uncultured bacterium. RNAcentral describes it as "bacterial SSU rRNA". It matches the Rfam family "Bacterial small subunit ribosomal RNA", at positions 28 to 355 of the family's 1533-position model. The record is from RNAcentral.